RNAcentral lists this ribosomal RNA (403 nucleotides) under uncultured bacterium. Its description in RNAcentral is "bacterial SSU rRNA". It matches the Rfam family "Bacterial small subunit ribosomal RNA", at positions 356 to 773 of the family's 1533-position model. The record is from RNAcentral.
GGGGAAUAUUGGGCAAUGGGCGAAAGCCUGACCCAGCAACGCCGCGUGAGGGAAGAAGGGUUUCGGCUCGUAAACCUCUGUCCUAUGGGACGAAGGAAGUGACGGUACCAUAGGAGGAAGCCCCGGCUAACUACGUGCCAGCAGCCGCGGUAAUACGUAGGGGGCGAGCGUUGUCCGGAAUGAUUGGGCGUAAAGGGCGCGUAGGCGGCCUGCUAAGUCUGGAGUGAAAGUCCUGCUUUCAAGGUGGGAAUUGCUUUGGAUACUGGUGGGCUGGAGUGCAGGAGAGGAAAGCGGAAUUACCGGUGUAGCGGUGAAAUGCGUAGAGAUCGGUAGGAACACCAGUGGCGAAGGCGGCUUUCUGGACUGAAACUGACGCUGAGGCGCGAAAGCGUGGGGAGCAAAC